AGUUCCCUACGGGACGCAGUAGUAGGGAAUCUUCCACAAUGGACGAAAGUCUGAUGGAGCAACGCCGCGUGAGUGAAGAAGGGUUUCGGCUCGUAAAGCUCUGUUGGUAGUGAAGAAAGAUAGAGGUAGUAACUGGCCUUUAUUUGACGGUAAUUACUUAGAAAGUCACGGCUAACUACGUGCCAACAGCCGCGGUAAUACGUAGGUGGCAAGCGUUGUCCGGAUUUAUUGGGCGUAAAGCGAG
RNAcentral lists this ribosomal RNA (244 nucleotides) under uncultured bacterium. RNAcentral's name for it is "partial 16S ribosomal RNA". It matches the Rfam family "Bacterial small subunit ribosomal RNA", at positions 333 to 569 of the family's 1533-position model. The record is from RNAcentral.